This 77-nucleotide transfer RNA is filed under the name Shewanella baltica. RNAcentral describes it as "tRNA-Ile". It matches the Rfam family "tRNA". From Rfam's summary of the family: Transfer RNA (tRNA) molecules are approximately 80 nucleotides in length. Their secondary structure includes four short double-helical elements and three loops (D, anti-codon, and T loops). The record is from RNAcentral. Lineage: Bacteria; Pseudomonadati; Pseudomonadota; Gammaproteobacteria; Alteromonadales; Shewanellaceae.
GGGUCUGUAGCUCAGCUGGUUAGAGCGCACCCCUGAUACGGGUGAGGUCGGUGGUUCAAGUCCACUCUGACCCACCA